GGGUGUGUAGCUCAACCCGGUAGAGCAGCGGUCUCCAAAGCCGCCGGUUGCAGGUUCGAUUCCUGCCGCGCCCGC
This 75-nucleotide transfer RNA is filed under the name Mycobacterium phage Cain. RNAcentral describes it as "tRNA-Trp". It matches the Rfam family "tRNA". From Rfam's summary of the family: Transfer RNA (tRNA) molecules are approximately 80 nucleotides in length. Lineage: Duplodnaviria; Heunggongvirae; Uroviricota; Caudoviricetes. The record is from RNAcentral. RNAcentral also lists the same sequence under 3 other names.